This 497-nucleotide ribosomal RNA is filed under the name uncultured bacterium. Its description in RNAcentral is "partial 16S ribosomal RNA". It matches the Rfam family "Bacterial small subunit ribosomal RNA", at positions 28 to 507 of the family's 1533-position model. The record is from RNAcentral.
GAUGAACGCUGGCGGCGUGCCUAAUACAUGCAAGUAGAACGCUGAAGGAAGGAGCUUGCUCUUUCCGGAUGAGUUGCGAACGGGUGAGUAACGCGUAGGUAACCCGCCUGGUAGCGGGGGAUAACUAUUGGAAACGAUAGCUAAUACCGCAUAACAGUAGAUGUUGCAUGAUAUCUACUUAAAAGGUGCAAUUGCACCACUACCAGAUGGACCUGCGUUGUAUUAGCUAGUUGGUGAGGUAACGGCUCACCAAGGCGACGAUACAUAGCCGACCUGAGAGGGUGAUCGGCCACACUGGGACUGAGACACGGCCCAGACUCCUACGGGAGGCAGCAGUAGGGAAUCUUCGGCAAUGGACGGAAGUCUGACCGAGCAACGCCGCGUGAGUGAAGAAGGUUUUCGGAUCGUAAAGCUCGGUUGUAAGAGAAGAACGAGUGUGAGAGUGGAAAGUUCACACUGUGACGGUAUCUUACCAGAAAGGGACGGCUAACUACGUG